GGGGGAGACUUCCAGAUCGGGCACUGUCCCCCACCUGCACCCCCCCCCAGCCACACUGGAUAAAAGGCGGCGGGGUGCGUCACGCGGGGGCGCACGCAGGAGCGAGCCGGGUUAAGCCGCGCAAAGCCGGCGCACGGGACCAGCCGGCAGGUGCAGCCGCCCGCUCAGCGGUCCCCGGCUCUGGCGCAUCGGCUGCAGCGGCCCCAGGAUUAUCGGAGCCC
This 221-nucleotide long non-coding RNA is filed under the name Urocitellus parryii (Arctic ground squirrel). Its description in RNAcentral is "lncRNA (ENSUPAG00010004862.1)". Lineage: Eukaryota; Metazoa; Chordata; Mammalia; Rodentia; Sciuridae. The record is from RNAcentral.